This 253-nucleotide ribosomal RNA is filed under the name uncultured bacterium. RNAcentral describes it as "partial 16S ribosomal RNA". It matches the Rfam family "Bacterial small subunit ribosomal RNA", at positions 524 to 776 of the family's 1533-position model. The record is from RNAcentral.
UACGUAGGGUCCGAGCGUUGUCCGGAAUUACUGGGCGUAAAGAGCUCGUAGGUGGUUUGUCGCGUUGUUCGUGAAAACUCACAGCUCAACUGUGGGCGUGCGGGCGAUACGGGCAGACUUGAGUACUGCAGGGGAGACUGGAAUUCCUGGUGUAGCGGUGGAAUGCGCAGAUAUCAGGAGGAACACCGGUGGCGAAGGCGGCGAUCUGGACGAUGACUGACGCUGAGACGCGAAAGCGUGGGGAGCAAACAGG